Gasterosteus aculeatus aculeatus (three-spined stickleback) is the source of this 4086-nucleotide long non-coding RNA. The record is from Ensembl. NCBI's taxonomy places the organism in Eukaryota, Metazoa, Chordata, Actinopteri, Perciformes, Gasterosteidae.
CUGCCAGCUCAUUCCACGGCUCCAAAAUGUGCCCUUUGGCCCGAGACGCCGAGACGCGCUGGCUCUUGUUGCGCAGAUCGCCGCAGGAGAGAAGACGGCUCGGUUGACACACUAACUCAUACGAUUCCUCUUCGACAGGGCGGCGGCUCAACACACGUUUGAAUUCCAUUUGGUGGAAUUGCGGGCAGAGAUUGGCGUGUUGAUAGGAUUGAUGCGACAGGAACAGGAAGGAUUUUGAUUUCUCUGCUCUGAUGUUUUUUUCCUAUUCAGGGAUUAGAGCCCGAGCGUUUAACACUUAUCCUCAUGAGGCGACAUGCGCGCUCCAACAACGCCCACAAUGACCCCGGACGCUACGUUCACACCAAAAGCAAAAGCCCAUUUUUCACGCGAGAAGAUUCCUUGCAGACACCCGACGCUGUCCUGCGAGAGCCAAUCAGCGCUGUGAUGCUCCGCGCCGUCAUCCCCACCGUGCGGCUGUUGAAUCAGAGACAAUGGUGGACACACACACACACCGCGUCCGCUUGAGGACGUGCCGAGCUCUACAACAUAUUUGCAAACUAAAUCACCGAGCUGUGUGACGGGUGAAGGCGUUUGAGGUCCCGACGUUGUUCUACAACAAGCACAGAGCAGAAAUGGUGGUUAUUUCCAUGGUGGACAGCGGAAAUUAUGACAUUGCCCCUUUUUCGGCACGAAUGAAGCGAAUAGUCGGGCGAGUAAACUCGCGAAUAAAGCAGGGGGCGAAUAUUGGCUUUAGGUUUUCAUCAAAAUAAAAUGAUAUAUGCAUCAAUCUUUUUUGGCAAACCUUUCAUAUGUCCUUUGAUGUGUGACCCUCCCCAUUCCUCUGCCAUAUACAUCUUUAGGUUUAGGAAUCCCAACCUGCAGGAGGGUUUGUUAAAAUUGUGCCGUCAAAUUUUCCCCUUUCCAGCAUAUGCAGGUUUUUUUGCAAUUCAACAUCCAGGGGGAUUGUGUGGCAGGACCCGGUGUGACGGGUCACACUGAACAGGUCAAUGCACAUCACCUGGUACCGCUGCCACUGAUCAAUGUGUGACUUUGGUUAAACGGGCUUUGUGAUAGCAAAUAGCAAUUGAAUUUCUGGAGGUCCAAACAUCCCAGCAACUUGCUGACUGGUUUAAAAGGAGAAGUGAGGAUCUAAAGAUGACUUUUGUUGAAGACGAGGUCAAGCUUUAAUCCAACAAGCGGACUAAAGUUUCCCUGUAGCGCCCCGGGCCUCCUACCGCCAUUCAACGCAAAGCAGAAUAAGCAGUAAUUGUGAACUUGUUGGUUUUGCUUAGAGCGGACACGCGCUAAUGAAUCGGAUAUGCAGCUGCGGAGGCAAUCAAUGAGGAUAUCCCCCACUGAUACGGUGCCAAAACCCACGACGCCUCCGGCAGAGAGCGGAGCUGCUCAACGGGCCACAAAAUCACGACGCAUCAGUUUUGCGGAGCGGCGUCGGCUGCGCCCGGACGGUGUUUCCAUAAGAACAUUGAGUCAAACUGAAAUUAUAAAAUAGUUCUUGGGCUGUGAAUCCAGCCACGGGUGACUUAAUCUGUCGGGCCGACGCCUCGUUCGCCGCAGGCCAUGGUUGUGUGAUUUUAAUUUUUUGCUAAUUAGGGCGGGAGGAAUCACAUUACGUCCACGCAGCGUUUCCAUCGCAUUCAAUCAGCGGGGGCAGCCAACGCUGCGAUGGGAUUAUAACCUCUAGUUACAACAUUUAAUACAGCAUGAUAUAAUCCACCACAGUCCAACAAACGCACUCCUGUCGGCAAACUAUCAAACUAAUUGCGAAAGCCAUUUGGAAACGAAGAAGCAGCUUCUGCGUCUCUGCCGUGGCCUUCUACUAUACAGGCCACCGGGUCAUCAGGUCACGAUGGUAAUCCGUUUGUUGCGGAUGAUCAAUAGGCCGCAGACUGAACGCGCCGUCAAUAAAAGGGGCACUGCGUUGCCGCGGUGACGUCAACAGUAAGAUAUGGACCCAGCAGCUGGCUUUUAGGAUUUGGAGGGAGCAAAUACAUUUAAAAGAUCAAACUAGACUUUAAUAUAAUAUUUUCAUACUGAAAUUAUAAUGCCGAUGGAUGUGGCUGAACGUUCUUAUUCAUUUAUUAAAUAAAUCUGAAGCAUCGGACACAAGUUCGGUGUGACGAAGAUGAAAAGCUCUCAGUGUAGUUGUCACAGAUGGAAUAUGAAAUAGGAUCUGAUAUAUGAGAGUGAUUUUAAAACCUUUCAGCAGUAACAAAAAGACAUCCGUUGUUGUGAGGAGCGGAUGAGUGCUCGUGUGGCCGCUGUGGUAUUUGGUCGUUUCUGGCUGAGAAGUGUGCAGCCGUGUUAUUUCCACCUCAGCCUACCUUCAACCUGAGCAGAGGUCUCAUCAGCCCACUGAAACCCCAAAAUCUUUGCGGGUGUGCAGUGUGUACAGAAUGAGACGACAACAGGCAACGUGCAGGUGACCGAAGCUCACGGCGGUUAAACGCGCGAUGACGAUGACGAUCCGUCUCCAGCUGCUCCAGUGGAAACGAUGUCUGAUGUGUUUCUGUAAAACGCAGCAGCAGUGUUCAACACGUCGGCCUCUGUAAACCACCAACACAACCCCGACCUGCUCUUUUACUGCGCACAACAACGCUGAGCGGGGAGGCGCAGCUAAUUUUUAAAUCGUAUUCCAGAUCAUUAUGACGACAUUUUGAUUUAACUUCAGCAGUGCCCUGUUUGGAUUUGGACUCUACGCAGUUUCCAUACGUCUGAAGUCUUGUUUGGCUUUUCUGCGUUCACGCGGCGGCCUUCAGUCCCAGUCACAGUAAAAAGGUGGUUGGUCCUUUGUGGGCUGCCGCGGUUACAUGGGUUAGUCACCUGGUUGACUACACAAGGAGGACCGGAUCACUCCCAGCUAAGGAGAACCAAAUUCUUAGUUUCAGGUGAUUCUAAUGACGGCAAAGAGGAGUUAGACGCAAGUCGUAUUUCCAACAUAUUGAUGUGUAUAUAAUGUUGGAACCGGUUGUGUUAUCUGCAGGUUUCCAGGACGCGGCUGUGUGGAACGCUAACGGCUCACAGAUCCUGAAGCGCAGAUAAGAACAAAUUCAUUCGUUUUUUGUUACAUCAUUUACAGGAUUUCUUUGUUUACAAAAAUAUAUAUAUAUAUAUAUUGCUUUAUAAUUUUAACAGUAUUUGUAUUAGUUAUUUGUUUCAUUCAUGCGGUUGGUCACUGUGAUCUCUGUAGGUGGCUUUUACAGGGCUGCUAGAGCUAUAUGAACACACACACACACACACACACACACACACACACACACACACACACACACACACACAAACACAAACACACACACACACACAAACAACCACCCCCCUUCCAAGAGUGCUACAUAACCCUGGAAACAGAGGCCUGGUUCAUUUGCAGCCAGAUUAAAGGCUGCGUGGGAGCGAGUGGAAAAGAUUAUUCCUAGUAAGCAAGAAAAAGCAAAAACCCUUAAGCUCUUCAUUAAUAACAUGAAGAGAGCAUUAUUUACGAAAGCUGCCUCGAGGCUCAUUGGGACAGAAGUCUAGUAUGUUGGAAGCCACAACGUCACGACGUCCACGCCGAGACGGACCCCCGGCAGGCCGCGCACACACACUCCAGACUGGAUCCCCGGCACGCCGCGCACACACACUCCAGACUGGAUCCCGGCACGCCGCGCACACACACUCCAGACUGGAUCCCCGGCACGCCGCGCACACACACUCCAGACUGGAUCCCGGCACGCCGCGCACACACACUCCAGACUGGAUCAGAAUUACAGCACAGUGAACGAGGAACGGAACCAAGAGUUUGCAUCGGCUUAAGGAAUGUCUAAAUGAAAGCCUCGUAAAUCCAACCCACUGGGAGCCGCGGUGCAGCCUGUAUACGGCGAGCGGCAACCCGGGUUGCCAGGAAACGCCGCGGGCUCACGCUCGCACACAAACGGGAGCCCGAGUGCCCUCAGUGGACCAGGAGAAAAAAAGCAUUGUGUCAACGCAAGGACGGCAGAGCCCCGUGACCUCUGACCCCAGUGGGAGUGAGAGCCACCCGGAAAUGUUACAGGAUAUGCAAGUUGUUAAAAACAGUGUCCGUAUGUCCGUCUG